Trichechus manatus latirostris (Florida manatee) is the source of this 377-nucleotide long non-coding RNA. RefSeq lists it as uncharacterized. The transcript is spliced from 4 exons. Lineage: Eukaryota; Metazoa; Chordata; Mammalia; Sirenia; Trichechidae. The record is from RefSeq and is a predicted model, not a curated record.
GAGAAAAUCCCGCUCUCACUUUUCCCGGCGCCGGAUGGAUCCUUCCUGACUUCCGGCGGAGUUCAGGUGUCCUCGCAUGGCUUUGUGGGAGAGAGUCAACAGCAGGUGGCAGUGCUAGCAAAGGUUGUGACUCUGGAUAUGCAAUCAACUUGGGAAAAGGGAUGACAUCUUUCAAACCAGAGUUUUUAACAGAAGUAGACUCAGAAGUGGACUCUGAAGAGGCUGACUGACAUCCCCCGGAGCUCUCAUUUGACACAGGUGUGGUGCCCGCAAAAGCCCUUUCCGCUUACUGUCUCCGUGGAGCAUCUGAAGGUCAUCUUGGGAGAAGCGAGCAGAGACACAUGGGAACCUCAUACCACCAAGAAAGCAGUGCCAGG